Molecule: long non-coding RNA, 494 nt
Filed under: Zonotrichia albicollis (white-throated sparrow)
Lineage: Eukaryota; Metazoa; Chordata; Aves; Passeriformes; Passerellidae
Description: lncRNA (ENSZALG00000006979.1)
Source: RNAcentral
GGAAAUUAUCACAACUCUAUUUUAUAUAGAUUCAGAGUCUGAAUUUAUUUUUUAAAAAGAAUCAGUGAGAGAAGUAAGAAUAAAGGCAAAUGAAAGAGGAGGAGGAGGAGCUGUUCCACAUGAAGAGAGGAUGUGUUAUGAAAACCUUCAGAGUCAGGCAGAAGUGAAGGGGAAGGAACGAGAGCUUUUGGAGAGACAUGAAAGACAGAAACAGAUCUAGAGAAAGUUUCCAUGCAGGAAGGAAGGAAGGAAGACGUGCUGGUGAGCAGUUUCCUGUUCAACUUCCAUUCUAUUUUUAGAGAAGCCCUUAAUGCUGACCAUCUCAAAGGAAACAACUGAAAAGAUAGGAAAACCAACAACAUGGCAAUAAGAAGAAAGAAGUACAAAAAAAACCUCCAGAAUUUCUUUUCCAUCUGCACAUGCACAGAACAUAAUAUCACAAAAGAAUCAAGGAUAAGAUUCAUGAAAAUAAAGUCACAAAGGUAUCACAGAAC